GACGAACGCUGGCGGCGUGCUUAACACAUGCAAGUCGAACGGAAAGGCCCCUUUGGGGGUCCUCGAGUGGCGAACGGGUGAGUAACACGUGAGUAACCUGCCCUUGACUUCGGGAUAACUUCAGGAAACUGGGGCUAAUACCGGAUAGGAAUCCUUGCUGCAUGGUGGGGGUUGGAAAGCUUCGGCGGUUUUGGAUGGACUCGCGGCUUAUCAGCUUGUUGGUGGGGUAGUGGCUUACCAAGGCUUUGACGGGUAGCCGGCCUGAGAGGGCGACCGGCCACAUUGGGACUGAGAUACGGCCCAGACUCCUACGGGAGGCAGCAGUGGGGAAUAUUGCACAAUGGGCGGAAGCCUGAUGCAGCAACGCCGCGGGCGGGAUGACGGCCUUCGGGUUGGAAACCGCUUUCAGCAGGGGCGAAGCUUGUGGUGACGGUACCUGCAGAAGAAGCACCGGCUAACUACGUG
RNAcentral lists this ribosomal RNA (465 nucleotides) under uncultured bacterium. Its description in RNAcentral is "partial 16S ribosomal RNA". It matches the Rfam family "Bacterial small subunit ribosomal RNA", at positions 28 to 507 of the family's 1533-position model. The record is from RNAcentral.